CCUACGGGAGGCAGCAGUGGGGAAUCUUGCGCAAUGGGCGAAAGCCUGACGCAGCAACGCCGCGUGCGGGAAGAAGGCUUUCGGGCUGUAAACCGCUUUCAGCAGGAACGAAAAUGACGGUACCUGCAGAAGAAGGAGCGGCCAACUAUGUGCCAGCAGCCGCGGUGAUACAUAGGCUUCAAGCGUUGUCCGGAUUUAUUGGGCGUAAAGAGUUCGUAGGCGGUCGAGUAAGUCGGGUGUGAAAAUUCUGGGCUCAACCCAGAGACGCCACCCGAUACUGCUUGACUUGAGUUCGAUAGGGGAGUGGGGAAUUCCUAGUGUAGCGGUGAAAUGCGCAGAUAUUAGGAGGAACACCGGUGGCGAAGGCGCCACUCUGGAUCGAUACUGACGCUGAGGAACGAAAGCAUGGGUAGCAAACAGGAUUAGAUACCCUGGUAGUCCAUGCCGUAAACGGUGGGCACUAGGUGUGGGUUUACCUAUUAACGAAAUCCGCGCCGUCGCUAACGCAUUAAGUGCCCCGCUGGGGAAUCGGUCGCAAGCAAACUUAAUGAAUUGAGGCUGAGAGUGCGAGCGACGACGAGGAGAG
RNAcentral lists this ribosomal RNA (586 nucleotides) under uncultured bacterium. RNAcentral describes it as "bacterial SSU rRNA". It matches the Rfam family "Bacterial small subunit ribosomal RNA", at positions 338 to 944 of the family's 1533-position model. The record is from RNAcentral.